This 427-nucleotide ribosomal RNA is filed under the name uncultured eukaryote. RNAcentral's name for it is "bacterial SSU rRNA". It matches the Rfam family "Eukaryotic small subunit ribosomal RNA", at positions 1003 to 1451 of the family's 1831-position model. The record is from RNAcentral.
GAUGAUCAGAUACCGUCGUAGUCUCAACCAUAAAACUAUGUGGACCAAGGAUCCGAGGACGUUACAUGGAUAACCCUCAUCAGCACCUAAUGAGAAAUCAAAGUCUUUGAGUUCUGGGGAGAGUAUGGUCGCAAGGCUGAAACUUAAAGGAAUUGACGGAAAGAUACACAAGUCGUGGAUUCUGCGGCUCAAUUUGAUUCAACACGGGAAAACUUACGCAGGCAAAAAGCUAGAAGGAUUGACAGCUUGAUAGCACUUUCUUGAUUUGGCAGCGAGUGGUGCAUGGCCGUUCUUAGUUGGUGGAGUGAUUUGUCAGGUUAAUUCCCUUAACGAACGAGAUCUUCACUUGCUAACUAGUCGCGACUAAAAACCUAGUCGUUGACUUCUUAGAAGGACUACGGUCUCAAAAACCGUGGAAGUUGGAGGC